GCCAUCCUUCGGGGCGGGGCGAAAUUCCCCACCGGCGGUGAUCACGCUCCGGCCACCCACAAGGCCCGCGUGUCAGCCCGCGAAGCCGCGCCUAGAUGCAGUGCAGGCCUGGCCCGACCUGGUGAAAUUCCAGAGCCGACGGUCACAGUCCGGAUGAGAGAAGGAGGAA
RNAcentral lists this non-coding RNA (169 nucleotides) under Deinococcus hopiensis. Its description in RNAcentral is "FMN sequence". It matches the Rfam family "FMN riboswitch aptamer (RFN element)". From Rfam's summary of the family: The RFN element is a highly conserved domain that is found frequently in the 5'-untranslated regions of prokaryotic mRNAs that encode for flavin mononucleotide (FMN) biosynthesis and transport proteins. The record is from RNAcentral. Lineage: Bacteria; Thermotogati; Deinococcota; Deinococci; Deinococcales; Deinococcaceae. RNAcentral also lists the same sequence under 1 other name.